Molecule: ribosomal RNA, 66 nt
Filed under: uncultured eukaryote
Lineage: Eukaryota
Description: partial small subunit ribosomal RNA
Source: RNAcentral
ACGGUGGGAUUCAUGACUGGGUGAAGUCGUAACAAGGUAGCCGUAGGUGAACCUGCAGAAGGAUCA